CAUGGCAUCAGUAAGACGUGUCGAGGCUAUUCAUCACUCUGAAGUUUCAUUAAUGCUGUAACAGAAACCACACACUCCCUCAUGACUGGUUGGAUAUCUUGCUGUGCUCUGAAGAAGGCAGCUUUUGCUCACCCGAAAGAGCAGUCUGUUAACAAAUCUUUCAAUAUAAAGUCUGAUCUCCUCCUUGGCCCAGACCUUUGUCAUCUUGAUUGAAAAUACAUAUACCUGUUGGUCCCCAGACUCAUUAUUCUGCAUCUCAAACCUUGACCAAGUGUGUACCCGGAGGUGGUGAGUUCUUCAGGUUACCUGUACACAUCCCUGUCUGCUGCCCAUGCUAGGCAGGAAGAUAUUUGAGGUGCAUCUGUGUCUGCUUCACUUCUGUAGUGGCAGAGGAUACCCACAUAGCACAUGAGGAUACCUGAGAGACCCGUGCUGCCAUACAUCUGAAGGUGGAUGGACUACUCCUGGGCAGGUGUGGAGAUAGCAGGUCCUUGCAGCAUGCGUGGCUUCUCCAGCACCUGGUGCCUGCAGCCUGGGUAGCUUCUCCAGCAUCUGGCUCCUGCAUCACCAGUCACUUCUCCAGCACUUGGCCCCAGGAGUGUACGAUGGUCAGCAGCACCCAGCAACCAGUAGUUUCUCCUGUACUUGCUCAGGCAGCUCAAGCAGUUUCAUGGCAGAGUUCCUUCCACAAGACAUUGUUCCAUGAGUAGUUUUCCCUAGUGCCCUAGAGAGAGGAGUUUCAGCAAGUUCCACCCGUGCAAUACCGCAGUGACUUCUGUGCCAUCCAGUGAGCCAUAAUGACCUCUCCAGAGUCUGGGUCUCAGUCUGGGGUGUGGCGGUGGGCUCUUCUUUGGGCACCCUCUCUCAGCCCUGAGGGUAGCAGCUGCUCCUUCUAUCUGUUAUUCCUGUAUUUUUUUUUAGCAUUUUCUUUACUUUUUACUAGGCAAUCCCUCAUUACUGAAAUCUUGUUAUAAUUAAUGAUAUUAAACUUUCC
This 994-nucleotide long non-coding RNA is filed under the name Equus caballus (horse). RNAcentral's name for it is "lncRNA (ENSECAG00000055373.1)". Lineage: Eukaryota; Metazoa; Chordata; Mammalia; Perissodactyla; Equidae. The record is from RNAcentral.